Dermacentor andersoni is the source of this 1146-nucleotide non-coding RNA. The record is from RefSeq and is a predicted model, not a curated record. NCBI's taxonomy places the organism in Eukaryota, Metazoa, Arthropoda, Arachnida, Ixodida, Ixodidae.
GUCUUGGUCUAUGAUAAGACUGAAAAUAGAAUUUCUUCUAAACAUAACCUCAGCACUUGGAAUAUGCUAGUAUAUAUUCUAUAUGCGGCAAAACCCACUACUGGUGUCACUAGAGUGUUUUGGUAAACGCAUUCAGAAUGUCUAACUCAAGAACUUUUCUAGAUCUUUUUGUCUAAAAGUGCAUAAAAUGGCAAACGGCGUGUUAAAAGUGCGGUUACCGUUGGCCGUCGGCGUUAGCGAAUAAAAGACGCCACAGACAAAUCGAACUCGUUGGAAGCAACAUAAGUUAAUUGGCUUUGAUAUUAAAUAAUUUCACACCAGAACUUCAACAAUCAAGGGCGUGUUAUUGUUUUCCAUACGGGGCGCGCACACGACGCCUGGAAGCCAUUCUAUGCUCGCGCAGCAGGUAUACUGACAGCAGCAGGAGCGUAACGCCGGCGUUGCACAGCGGUGUCACCGAGCCACCGCGCUGCGAUCACUUCGGCGGAAACUUAAUCCAAAUUUGUCGGACAUCUCAUUCUGUGCUGGAAACACUGGGAGGCAGGAAGUUUGAAAAAACGGCCACUGCCGCCCGCAAUGUCUCGGUCGUGGGCUGGUCGUGGGUUCGUUAUGCCAGUUGUGCGUCAUUCUAAGCCGUUCUGUACAUUUAUACUGGAUAUUAAUUGGAGUCAUUUAGCUGUGCUGAUGCUGUUUGCCGUGUGUUUUGCAUCAGUGCUUCGUGACAUCGGCUGUAUUGCGUGUUUUCGCCGACGGCUUACUACCACAAUGGCGGGAUCUGCGUUCGCCGCCUUCGUGUCUCGGUGCGUCUUUGUACGUCGCACGUUCGGAUAACACUUUUUGCGACUGCUGGACAUCCUUCUUGUACCUUGGCGCUAGCUGGAUGACGGGACCUCAUCAUGAUCAGUGUAUUGCUUGCCUAUGUCUACAAGAACCGUCACGCGUGGCCUGUGACAGCAAGCUUUUGUGGGCAGCAAGUGCUCUCCUACGAAGGCUGGCCUACUCUGGCAGCGGCGGCAAUCAUCUUCAAGAUUUAUCCAUAAUCACCUUUGCUGCUUUUUGUCACUCUUGUUGAUUACACUUUCUGCGUCUUUUCUAAUUUAUUAGGUAAUAAAGUAUGAGUAAGUGACAUGGUGUGAAGUUGACGUC